RNAcentral lists this long non-coding RNA (498 nucleotides) under Physcomitrium patens. RNAcentral's name for it is "long non-coding RNA (PPAT_LNC008217)". The record is from RNAcentral. Lineage: Eukaryota; Viridiplantae; Streptophyta; Bryopsida; Funariales; Funariaceae.
CACGAACUUCUCCCCCUUAAUAAUCAAUACGGCCCGUCCAAGAAGCGGGACGUAGGUGAUCCACCACCACCAUAGAUCGUGGUGCCACCACAUCCCCAUGCCUGCCUGCACCUCUCUCUGUUCCCCACCCCUCGGGAACAUGCCCGGGAACCAUCAAAAUGUAUCAAAGCAGCGUGUUUGAUUCUACAAUGAAGUAAAGAAGGCUAGUGAAGAACACAAAUAUAAGGAAUUAAAAAAAGAACAACCAAAAAAAUGAAAUACAACUUGAGUUUGCAAAGAACACUCUCAAAAUUAAUGGCUUAUAGAAGGUUAAAAAAAUAAUCUAUUGAGUUUUUGUGGCUAUUUGUUUCUGAAGUAGGGUUCACUAGUAUCAAUAAUAUCCUAGAUAUAGUGAUAUCUAACAUUUACGUACUUGGUCUUGGAAUAAUAUAGAUGAUUUUUUUUGUUAGAUGUAUUGUGCUUCUACUAUCACAAUUUGACUCCUCCAAUUUCUACAAC